UACGAGAGGCCCAAGCAUUAUUCGGAAUUACUGGGCUUAAAGAGUUCGUAGGCGGCAUAGUAAGUAGGGUGUGAAAUCCCUCGGCUCAACCGAGGAAUUGCGCUCUAAACUACCGUGCUAGAGGAAGCUAGAGGUGAGCGGAACUGAUGGUGGAGCGGUGAAAUGCGUUGAUAUCAUCAGGAACACCGGAGGCGAAGGCGGCUCACUGGGGCUUUUCUGACGCUGAGGAACGAAAGCCAGGGUAGCGAACGGG
RNAcentral lists this ribosomal RNA (253 nucleotides) under uncultured bacterium. Its description in RNAcentral is "partial 16S ribosomal RNA". It matches the Rfam family "Bacterial small subunit ribosomal RNA", at positions 524 to 776 of the family's 1533-position model. The record is from RNAcentral.